RNAcentral lists this ribosomal RNA (497 nucleotides) under uncultured bacterium. Its description in RNAcentral is "partial 16S ribosomal RNA". It matches the Rfam family "Bacterial small subunit ribosomal RNA", at positions 28 to 507 of the family's 1533-position model. The record is from RNAcentral.
GAUGAACGCUGGCGGCGUGUCUAAUACAUGCAAGUCGAGCGAACAGACGAGGAGCUUGCUCCUCUGACGUUAGCGGCGGACGGGUGAGUAACACGUGGAUAACCUACCUAUAAGACUGGGAUAACUUCGGGAAACCGGAGCUAAUACCGGAUAAUAUAUUGAACCGCAUGGUUCAAUAGUGAAAGACGGUUUUGCUGUCACUUAUAGAUGGAUCUGCGCCGCAUUAGCUAGUUGGUAAGGUAACGGCUUACCAAGGCGACGAUGCGUAGCCGACCUGAGAGGGUGAUAGGCCACACUGGAACUGGAACACGGUCCAUACUCCUACGGGAGGCAGCAGUAUGGAAUCUGCCGCAAUGGGCGAGAGCCUGACGGAGCGACGCCGCGUGAGUGAUGAAGAUCUUCGGAUCGUAAAACUCUGUUAUUAGGGAAAAACAACUGUGUAAGUAACUAUACACGUCUUGACGGUACCUAAUCAGAAAGCCCCGGCUAACUACGUG